This 78-nucleotide transfer RNA is filed under the name Microcoleus sp. SIO2G3. Its description in RNAcentral is "tRNA-Gln". It matches the Rfam family "tRNA". Rfam says of the family: Transfer RNA (tRNA) molecules are approximately 80 nucleotides in length. Their secondary structure includes four short double-helical elements and three loops (D, anti-codon, and T loops). Lineage: Bacteria; Bacillati; Cyanobacteriota; Cyanophyceae; Oscillatoriales; Microcoleaceae. The record is from RNAcentral.
UGCCGGGUAGACGAAUAGGUAAAGUCCUCCGCCUCUGAAGCGGAAGUCAUGUAGGUUCAAGCCCUACCCCGGCAGCCA